Molecule: ribosomal RNA, 440 nt
Filed under: uncultured bacterium
Lineage: Bacteria
Description: partial 16S ribosomal RNA
Rfam family: Bacterial small subunit ribosomal RNA
Source: RNAcentral
CCUACGGGUGGCAGCAGUGGGGAAUAUUGCACAAUGGUGGAGACCCUGAUGCAGCAACGCCGCGUGAGUGAAGAAGUAUUUCGGUAUGUAAAGCCCUAUUAGCAGGGAAACAGAUGAUGGUACCCGAUUAAGAAGCCGCGUAUAACUACGUGCCAGCAGGCGCGGUUAUAUGUCAGGGGCCAACGUUAUCCGGAUUUAGUGGGUGUAAAGGGAGCGCAGACGGCAGUGCAAGUCUGGAGUGAAAGCCCGGGGCCCAACCCCGGAACUGCUCUGGAAACUGUGCGGCUAGAGUACUGGAGGGGCAUGCGGAAUUCCUAGUGUAGCGGUGAAAUGCGUAGAUAUUAGGAGGAACACCAGUGGCGAAGGCGGCCUGCUGGACAGUAACUGACGUUGAGGCUCGAAAGCGUGGGGAGCAAACAGGAUUAGAUACCCCAGUAGUC